RNAcentral lists this ribosomal RNA (253 nucleotides) under uncultured bacterium. RNAcentral's name for it is "partial 16S ribosomal RNA". It matches the Rfam family "Bacterial small subunit ribosomal RNA", at positions 524 to 776 of the family's 1533-position model. The record is from RNAcentral.
UACGUAGGGGGCAAGCGUUGUCCGGAUUUAUUGGGCGUAAAGGGCGCGUAGGCGGCUUGGCAAGUGGAUGGUGAAAUCCCUCGGCUUAACCGAGGAACUGCCGUCCAAACUGCUUUGCUUGAGACCGGGAGAGGUGAGUGGAAUUCCCAGUGUAGCGGUGAAAUGCGUAGAUAUUGGGAGGAACACCAGUGGCGAAGGCGGCUCACUGGACCGGUACUGACGCUGAGACGCGAAAGCGUGGGGAGCGAACAGG